This 1528-nucleotide ribosomal RNA is filed under the name Klebsiella variicola. Its description in RNAcentral is "bacterial SSU rRNA". It matches the Rfam family "Bacterial small subunit ribosomal RNA". The record is from RNAcentral. Lineage: Bacteria; Pseudomonadati; Pseudomonadota; Gammaproteobacteria; Enterobacterales; Enterobacteriaceae.
AGAGUUUGAUCAUGGCUCAGAUUGAACGCUGGCGGCAGGCCUAACACAUGCAAGUCGAGCGGUAGCACAGAGAGCUUGCUCUCGGGUGACGAGCGGCGGACGGGUGAGUAAUGUCUGGGAAACUGCCUGAUGGAGGGGGAUAACUACUGGAAACGGUAGCUAAUACCGCAUAACGUCGCAAGACCAAAGUGGGGGACCUUCGGGCCUCAUGCCAUCAGAUGUGCCCAGAUGGGAUUAGCUGGUAGGUGGGGUAACGGCUCACCUAGGCGACGAUCCCUAGCUGGUCUGAGAGGAUGACCAGCCACACUGGAACUGAGACACGGUCCAGACUCCUACGGGAGGCAGCAGUGGGGAAUAUUGCACAAUGGGCGCAAGCCUGAUGCAGCCAUGCCGCGUGUGUGAAGAAGGCCUUCGGGUUGUAAAGCACUUUCAGCGGGGAGGAAGGCGGUGAGGUUAAUAACCUCAUCGAUUGACGUUACCCGCAGAAGAAGCACCGGCUAACUCCGUGCCAGCAGCCGCGGUAAUACGGAGGGUGCAAGCGUUAAUCGGAAUUACUGGGCGUAAAGCGCACGCAGGCGGUCUGUCAAGUCGGAUGUGAAAUCCCCGGGCUCAACCUGGGAACUGCAUUCGAAACUGGCAGGCUAGAGUCUUGUAGAGGGGGGUAGAAUUCCAGGUGUAGCGGUGAAAUGCGUAGAGAUCUGGAGGAAUACCGGUGGCGAAGGCGGCCCCCUGGACAAAGACUGACGCUCAGGUGCGAAAGCGUGGGGAGCAAACAGGAUUAGAUACCCUGGUAGUCCACGCUGUAAACGAUGUCGAUUUGGAGGUUGUGCCCUUGAGGCGUGGCUUCCGGAGCUAACGCGUUAAAUCGACCGCCUGGGGAGUACGGCCGCAAGGUUAAAACUCAAAUGAAUUGACGGGGGCCCGCACAAGCGGUGGAGCAUGUGGUUUAAUUCGAUGCAACGCGAAGAACCUUACCUGGUCUUGACAUCCACAGAACUUAGCAGAGAUGCUUUGGUGCCUUCGGGAACUGUGAGACAGGUGCUGCAUGGCUGUCGUCAGCUCGUGUUGUGAAAUGUUGGGUUAAGUCCCGCAACGAGCGCAACCCUUAUCCUUUGUUGCCAGCGGUCCGGCCGGGAACUCAAAGGAGACUGCCAGUGAUAAACUGGAGGAAGGUGGGGAUGACGUCAAGUCAUCAUGGCCCUUACGACCAGGGCUACACACGUGCUACAAUGGCAUAUACAAAGAGAAGCGACCUCGCGAGAGCAAGCGGACCUCAUAAAGUAUGUCGUAGUCCGGAUUGGAGUCUGCAACUCGACUCCAUGAAGUCGGAAUCGCUAGUAAUCGUAGAUCAGAAUGCUACGGUGAAUACGUUCCCGGGCCUUGUACACACCGCCCGUCACACCAUGGGAGUGGGUUGCAAAAGAAGUAGGUAGCUUAACCUUCGGGAGGGCGCUUACCACUUUGUGAUUCAUGACUGGGGUGAAGUCGUAACAAGGUAACCGUAGGGGAACCUGCGGUUGGAUCACCU